ACACAUACCUCCUUUGGACAGAGACAUUUCCCCUUUGCUUUGAUGAGGGGGAAGGGAAGCACAAAGACUUUUUGCCUUUUUCUACUCCCUCCCUCCCCGCAUCGAACCCGUACGCCCGCUCAGGAUCGCAGGCUGCUCGUGCAGGGGAAGAAAAAAAAAGAAAAAACUAGCAGCAGCGAUGAAAGCAAAAAAAUCAAAUAAAAUGUCUCGUCUCCGCGCGCUCCGAACGCCUCCGGCUGCUAAGGCGAGCGCUCACCGGGCGAUUGGCAACCAGAUGCACGGUUCGGAUUGAAGGCAGCGCGGGCUCCACACUUCGAAUGAAGACAUGACGAUAAAAAGAUCAAAUCAACAGAGAGAGGUAACGUCAACCACAGUUAAGAUCUUGAUUGGCUGAUGGAUAACUUGGACACACACUCAGACGUAGCUAUACUUCUCAAGUGUGAGUAGGCCCUUUUGGCGCCUCUGGGAGACAGAAAAGAAGAGAACUGGCGGCGCAGAGCUAUAUUUCAUUCAUCUGUGAGGAUGCCGCGAUGUUUUUUUUAUUUCACAUCUCCUACCAAAUAAUAAUGAAAAAAAAAAAAAUAACUCACACCACAAGGUUUGAAAAAGAAAAAGAUGCAUCGUUGGCUCCCGGCAAAGUUUUCAUCAAAGCACAAAGACGAUCAUUGUGAACAAGUAGCAAAAUAAAUCAUCCAUCCAGCUUUUUUUUUUUUUUUUU
Molecule: long non-coding RNA, 718 nt
Organism: Phycodurus eques (leafy seadragon)
Lineage: Eukaryota; Metazoa; Chordata; Actinopteri; Syngnathiformes; Syngnathidae
Exons: 3
Source: RefSeq, a predicted model, not a curated record